Molecule: ribosomal RNA, 405 nt
Filed under: uncultured bacterium
Lineage: Bacteria
Description: bacterial SSU rRNA
Rfam family: Bacterial small subunit ribosomal RNA
Source: RNAcentral
GGGCCCGCACAAGCGGUGGAACAUGUGGUUUAAUUCGACGCAACGCGAAGAACCUUACCUGGGUUUGACAUCCCCGGCCGACACCAGAGAUGGUGUUUUCUCUUCGGAGACCGGGUGACAGGUGCUGCAUGGCUGUCGUCAGCUCGUGUCGUGAGAUGUUGGGUUAAGUCCCGCAACGAGCGCAACCCUUGCCCUCAGUUGCCAGCAGUUCGGCUGGGCACUCUGGGGGGACUGCCGGUGACAAGCCGGAGGAAGGUGGGGAUGACGUCAAGUCCUCAUGGCCUUUAUAUCCAGGGCUACACACGUGUUACAAUGGGGGUCACAAAGGGCAGCGAAACGGUGACGUGGAGCGAAUCCCAAAAAAGCCCUCUCAGUUCGGAUCGCAGUCUGCAACUCGACUGCGUG